AGCAGCCGCGGUAAUUCCAGCUCCAAUAGCGUAUAUUAAAGUUGCUGCAGUUAAAAAGCUCGUAGUUGAAUUUCGGGACCAUCAUGUCGGUCGUGCCUCGGUACGUACUGGCAUUGUUGGUUUCUACCUUCUGACGAACCAUGAUGUCAUUUAUUUGGUGUCGUGGGGAAUCAGGACUGUUACUUUGAAAAAAUUAGAGUGUUUAAAGCAGGCUUUAGCUUGAAUACAUUAGCAUGGAAUAAUGAAAUAGGACGUUCGAACCUAUUUUGUUGGUUUCUAGGAUCAACGUAAUGAUUAAUAGGGAUAGUUGGGGGCAUUAGUAUUCAAUUGUCAGAGGUGAAAUUCUUGGAUUUAUUGAAGACUAACUACUGCGAAAGCAUUUGCCAGGAUGUUUUCAUUAAUCAAGAACGAAAGUUAGGGGAUCGAAGACGAUCAGAUACCGUCGUAGUCUUAACCAUAAACUAUGCCGACUAGGGAUCGGAUGAUGUUAAUUUUAUAAUGACUCAUUCGGCUACCG
Molecule: ribosomal RNA, 517 nt
Filed under: uncultured Glomus
Lineage: Eukaryota; Fungi; Glomeromycota; Glomeromycetes; Glomerales; Glomeraceae
Description: SSU rRNA
Rfam family: Eukaryotic small subunit ribosomal RNA
Source: RNAcentral